Molecule: ribosomal RNA, 450 nt
Filed under: uncultured bacterium
Lineage: Bacteria
Description: partial 16S ribosomal RNA
Rfam family: Bacterial small subunit ribosomal RNA
Source: RNAcentral
GGGCCAGACUCCUACGGGAGGCAGCAGUGGGGGAUAUUGCACAAUGGGGGGAACCCUGAUGCAGCGACGCCGCGUGGGUGAAGGAGCGUUUCGGCGCGUAAAGCCCUAUCGGCAGGGAAGAAGGAGGACGGUACCUGACUAAGAAGCCCCGGCUAACUACGUGCCAGCAGCCGCGGUAAUACGUAGGGGGCAAGCGUUAUCCGGAUUCACUGGGUGUAAAGGGAGCGUAGACGGCGACGCAAGUCUGGAGUGAAAGCCCGGGGCCCAACCCUGGGACUGCUUUGGAAACUGUUAGACUAGAGUGCUGGAGAGGUAAGUGGAAUUCCUAGUGUAGCGGUGAAAUGCGUAGAUAUUAGGAGGAACACCAGUGGCGAAGGCGGCUUACUGGACAGUAACUGACGUUGAGGCUCGAAAGCGUGGGGAGCAAACAGGAUUAGAUACCCGGGUACG